This 590-nucleotide ribosomal RNA is filed under the name uncultured bacterium. Its description in RNAcentral is "bacterial SSU rRNA". It matches the Rfam family "Bacterial small subunit ribosomal RNA", at positions 338 to 916 of the family's 1533-position model. The record is from RNAcentral.
CCUACGGGAGGCAGCAGUAGGGGAAUCUUCCGCAAUGGACGAAAGUCUGACGGAGCAACGCCGCGUGAACGAUGAAGGCCUUCGGGUCGUAAAGUUCUGUUGUUAGGGAAGAACAAGUGCUAGUUAAAUAAGCUGGCACCUUGACGGUACCUAACCAGAAAGCCACGGCUAACUACGUGCCAGCAGCCGCGGUAAUACGUAGGUGGCAAGCGUUGUCCGGAAUUAUUGGGCGUAAAGCGCGCGUCAGGCGGUUUCUUAAGUCUGAUGUGAAAGCCCCCGGCUCAACCGGGGAGGGUCAUUGGAAACUGGGAAACUUGAGUGCAGAAGAGGAAAGUGGAAUUCCAAGUGUAGCGGUGAAAUGCGUAGAGAUUUGGAGGAACACCAGUGGCGAAGGCGACUUUCUGGUCUGUAACUGACGCUGAGGCGCGAAAGCGUGGGGAGCAAACAGGAUUAGGAUACCCUGGUAGUCCACGCUGUAAACGAUGAGUGCUAAGUGUUAGAGGGUUUCGCCUUUAGUGCUGAAGUUAACGCAUUAAGCACUCCGCCUGGGGAGUACGGUCGCGAAGACUGAAACUCAAAGGAAUUGACGG